GGGGGGUGGUGUUCAGUGGAAUAAGAACACAUCUCGCAGCAAAGGGAGGUCCUAAUCUAUUUCUGCCACGCCAUCGCUGCAGGUAUAGAACCCGUUGCGGUAUCAGCUGUGCCAACCAAGGGAAUAUCAAUCAAUCAUCAAACUUAUGUAUUCUUACCUCCUCCAUUGCUCUUAUCAAAACCUUAGUGGUGUUUCAUUUUCAUUGAAAACGUUGUGUUAGUUCUACCAUUCCUAUUUGGAUGAAAAAACUUAUUUAUCAAAUUAACCCUAUAUAUUCAGUUGGCUUGCACACUA
Molecule: non-coding RNA, 294 nt
Organism: Musa acuminata subsp. malaccensis (wild Malaysian banana)
Lineage: Eukaryota; Viridiplantae; Streptophyta; Magnoliopsida; Zingiberales; Musaceae
Source: RefSeq, a predicted model, not a curated record